AACUCCUACGGGAGGCAGCAGUGAGGAAUAUUGGUCAAUGGACGAGAGUCUGAACCAGCCAAGUAGCGUGAAGGAUGAAGGUCCUACGGAUUGUAAACUUCUUUUAUAAGGGAAUAAACCCUCCCACGUGUGGGAGCUUGUACGUACCUUAUGAAUAAGCAUCGGCUAACUCCGUGCCAGCAGCCGCGGUAAUACGGAGGAUGCGAGCGUUAUCCGGAUUUAUUGGGUUUAAAGGGAGCGCAGACGGGUCGUUAAGUCAGCUGUGAAAGUUUGGGACUCAACCUUAAAAUUGCAGUUGAUACUGGCGUCCUUGAGUGCGGUUGAGGUGUGCGGAAUUCGUGGUGUAGCGGUGAAAUGCUUAGAUAUCACGAAGAACUCCGAUUGCGAAGGCAGCACACUAAUCCGUAACUGACGUUCAUGCUCGAAAGUGUGGGUAUCAAACAGGAUUAGAUACCCUGGUAGUCCACACGGUAAACGAUGGAUACUCGCUGUUGGCGAUAUACGGUCAGCGGCUUAGCGAAAGCGUUAAGUAUCCCACCUGGGGAG
Molecule: ribosomal RNA, 546 nt
Filed under: uncultured bacterium
Lineage: Bacteria
Description: bacterial SSU rRNA
Rfam family: Bacterial small subunit ribosomal RNA
Source: RNAcentral